This 1131-nucleotide unclassified non-coding RNA is filed under the name Rhopalosiphum maidis (corn leaf aphid). Its description in RNAcentral is "glutathione S-transferase-like, transcript variant X1". Lineage: Eukaryota; Metazoa; Arthropoda; Insecta; Hemiptera; Aphididae. The record is from RNAcentral.
UAAGAAGUAUGUUUUAUAGUUCAUCAUUUGUAUAUAAACGAACGAUUAAAUAUUAAAACAUAAUUAUUAUAAUAAUUGCGGUCUAGUGACACAGUAGUGCAGAAUGGUUGACUGUUUUAUUUAAAUAUCUAUUAUUUUAUUUAUUCUUUUGUAAGCUACGCAUAAAUAUUACUAUUGAGUAGUAUUAAACACCUGUUUUUUAUGGUGUUCUGCUAAAAAUAAACACUCAAACAAUUUAACAAAAAAUAAGUAAAAACAAUUUUAAAACUAAUAGAAAGAAGUUUAGCAGAAAAAAUGUCGGUGUACAAACUCACAUACUUCAACUUUCCUGCACUGGCAGAACCUAUUAGAUUUCUCUUGGCUUAUUUAGAAAUUGAUUUUGAAGAUUUUCGGUUCGAACGUGAACAAUGGCCAUCAAUCAAACCCACAAUGCCAUUCGGAAAAGUUCCAAUUUUAGAAAUCGAUGGUAAAAUAUUGAAUCAAUCAAUAGCCAUAUGCCGCUAUCUAUCAAAAAAGUCUGGAUUAGCAGGUGGCGAUGAUUGGGAAUCUUUAAUGAUCGAUAUUGCUGUUGAUAAUGUUAAUGAUUUACGACAAGCUUUAUCGUUACAUGCAUUUGAUCCAAAUGAAAAAUCUAAAGCUGAAAAAUAUGUAACUUUAAUAAACGAAACUAUUCCGUUGUAUAUGAAUAAAUUUGAAAAUACUGUAAGUGAAAAUGACGGAUAUUUUGUAAAUGGAAAGUUGUCCUGGGCUGAUAUAUACUUUGUAGCUUGUUUAGAUUUUUUGAACUUUAUGGCAAAAGUGGACCUUUUAGAGAGCCGUCCAAAAUUACAAGCGCAUAAAAGAAAAAUAUUGGAAAUACCUCAAAUUAAAUCAUGGGUCGGCCAAGCAAAAAGACCUGCAUUCUCUAUGUGAUGUGUCAAAUUAUAACUAAUUUUGGGAUUUUACUGUUAGUUCCAACAUGAACCUGAUUUCGGCUGAUUGGGUUACUAUCCAUAGCGGCAAGUUAACAAAGCUCAGGGUAUAAACUUUAAUAAAUGUUUGUCUUAAACGAAAUAAUGAUAUAAAACGAGAAUUUUCUCGAUAUUGUAUCAAAUAAUAAAUAAAAUAUAUAUAUAAUACUAUAAAAUAUAA